This 201-nucleotide long non-coding RNA is filed under the name Carica papaya (papaya). Its description in RNAcentral is "long non-coding RNA (CPAP_LNC013121)". The record is from RNAcentral. Lineage: Eukaryota; Viridiplantae; Streptophyta; Magnoliopsida; Brassicales; Caricaceae.
CUAAACCCGCAUGCAAGUUUUCAAUUGUCAUAUAUUCAUGCAUCAUGUUCGAUAUUUCCGUGGUUAAACAGUGAUCAUUCACCCUAGAGACUUAUACAUCAAACCCACAUGUUCGACAAUACCAAACAUUAAUGCUUGUAGGAAUUCAUGUAUCAUAGUCAUACGAUACACUAUUAUGUAUCAUACCUCACAUCCAAAACC